CCUGGUUGAUUUUGCCAGUAGUUAUAUACUUGUCUCAAAGAUUAAGCUAUAUAUAUCUAAGUAUAAGCACUUAUACUAUGAAACUACAAAUGGCUUAUUAAAUCAGUUAUAGUUUAUUUGAUAGUAUCUUUAUCUAGAUAACUGUGGUAAUUCUAGAGCUAAUAUAUACUAAAAACCUUGACUUUAGAAGGGAUAUAUUUAUUAGAUAAAAAACCAAUACCCUUCAGGGCUCCUUGGUGAUUCAUAAUAACUUAAUGAAUUGUAUAGCCUUAUGCCAACAAUAGUUCAUUUAAAUUUCUGCCCUAUCAACUUUUGAUGGUAAGAUAGUGGCUUACUAUAGUCUCAACAGGUAAUGAGGAAUUAGGGUUCUAUUCUAGAGAGGGAGCCUAAGAAACAACUACUAUAUCUAAGGAAGGCAGUAGGUGUAUAAAUUACCUAAUUCUGAUUCAGAGAGGUAGUGACAAUAAAUACUAAUAUAGGGCUCUUUCAGGUCUUAUAAUUGGAAUAAGUACAAUCUAAAUCCCUUAAUGAGGAAUAAUUAGAGGGUAAGUCUAGUGCCAACAACUAUAGUAAUUCCAGCUCCAAUAGUGUAUAUUAAAGUUGUUAUUGUUAAAAAGCUUAUAGUUGAACCUUGGACCUAGUUGAUCUAUCCUCCUAAUUGAGUAUACAGAUUCAGUUAAGUCUUUUCUUCUGGGGAGCCUUAUGUCCUUUACUAGGUAUAAUGGGGAACCAGGACUUUUACCUUGAAAAAAUUAGAGUGUUCAAAGUAAGCCUUUGCUUAAAUAUAUUAGUAUAGAAUAAUAGAAUAGGAUAUUGGUUCUAUUUUGUUGGUUUCUAGGAUUAUUAUAAUGAUUAAUAGGGAUAAUCAAGGGUAUCUAUAUUCAAUUGUCAAAGGUGAAAUUCUUGGAUUUAUUGAAGAUAAACUAUUAUAAAAGCAUUUGCCAAGGAUAUUUUCAUUAAUUAAUGAAUGAAAGUUAGGGGAUUAAAGACAAUCAGAUACUAUCAUAGUCUUAACCAUAAACUAUACUAACUAGGGAUUGGAUAAUGGUUUUUUUAUACCUUAUUUAGUACUUUAUAAGAAAUCAAAGUAUUUGGGCUUGGGGGGGAGUAUGGUUGUAAGGCUGAAACUUAAAGAAAUUAAUGGAAGGACAUCAUAAGGCAUGGAGCUUAUAGCUUAAUUUGACUUAACAUAGGGAAACUCACCAGGUCUAGACAUGCUUAGGAUUAAUAGAUUGAUAGCUCUUUCUUGAUUAUAUGGGUAGUGGUAUAUAGCUAUUCUUAAUUAGUAAGUUUUAACCUUGUUUUCUUUAUACAAAAUCUUUUAACUAAUGUUUUUAUAGGUGGAGUGAUUUGUCUACUUAAUUAUAAUAACAAACAAGACCUUGACUUGCUAAAUAGCCCGAUUGACUUUUGUUGGUUGCUGGCUUCUUAGAGGGACUUUUGGCUUAAACCAAUGGAAGUACAAGGCAAUAAUAGGUCUAUAAUACCCUUAGAUAUUCUGGGCUAUAUAUAUAC
RNAcentral lists this ribosomal RNA (1515 nucleotides) under Chaetothyriales sp. CBS 135597. Its description in RNAcentral is "SSU rRNA". It matches the Rfam family "Eukaryotic small subunit ribosomal RNA", at positions 3 to 1498 of the family's 1831-position model. The record is from RNAcentral. Lineage: Eukaryota; Fungi; Ascomycota; Eurotiomycetes; Chaetothyriales.